This 465-nucleotide ribosomal RNA is filed under the name uncultured bacterium. Its description in RNAcentral is "partial 16S ribosomal RNA". It matches the Rfam family "Bacterial small subunit ribosomal RNA", at positions 338 to 795 of the family's 1533-position model. The record is from RNAcentral.
CCUACGGGAGGCAGCAGUGGGGAAUAUUGCGCAAUGGGCGAAAGCCUGACGCAGCGACGCCGCGUGAGGGAUGAAGGUCUUCGGAUCGUAAACCUCUGUCAGCAGGGAAGAACGGUCACUGUGCUAAUCAGCAGUGAAUUGACGGUACCUGCAAAGGAAGCACCGGCUAACUCCGUGCCAGCAGCCGCGGUAAUAUGGAGGGUGCGAGCGUUAAUCGGAAUUACUGGGCGUAAGGCGCUCGUAGGCGGUAUGUCAAGUCAAGGGUGAAAUCCCCGCGCUCAACGUGGGAACUGCAUUUGAAACUGGCAAACUGGAGUGUGGGAGAGGAUAGUGGAAUUCCAGGUGUAGGAGUGGAAUCCGUAGAUAUCUGGAGGAACAUCAGUGGCGAAGGCGACUAUCUGGCACAUAACUGACGCUGAGGAGCGAAAGCGUGGGUAGCAAACAGGAUUAGAUACCCCUGUAGUC